This is a long non-coding RNA of Sorghum bicolor (sorghum), 375 nucleotides long. RefSeq lists it as uncharacterized. The transcript is spliced from 3 exons. Lineage: Eukaryota; Viridiplantae; Streptophyta; Magnoliopsida; Poales; Poaceae. The record is from RefSeq and is a predicted model, not a curated record.
ACUACCCCUACGCCGGCAGUAGGGAAGAAGAAGGGAGGAGCAGGGAACUAGGGAAGAAGAAAGAGGGGAGAAGAGAAGGGGAGAGGAGAAGGAGGAGAAGGAAGAGAAGGAGGAGGAGGGUGUGGUCGUCUCCGUCGUGGUGCUGCGGUCGUUCUCGUCGUCGUUGUCCAUCGCCGCAGGACCUGUCGAGGGGACUCGGAGCACCUCGACACAGCGUCGCCUCGCCACUGCACCGACUCGUCACUGCGCCGCUAGCCUGUCUUCACCGCCACCCUAGGCACAGGACAGUAUGCCAGGUGGAAGUAGGCGGCCGCAAAGGACGGGGGUCACCUCGGCCUUCAUGAGGCCCAACGACGAGGAGCAGGAGGAGGAGAG